AGGAAAAAUAGUAUGUAUUUUCUUUAAAAGAAAAAAAAAGAAAAAAAAAACAAAAGAGAAAAAUGCACUUGCCGAGACCUAAGACUCUAACCGAUAUAAAAUGCUCAGAAAAUUUGAGUAGAAAAAGAGUCAAAAGAGUGAAAUUAACCCUCAGAGUAUACGUGAUACACGAGAAAAAGAGAAAGAAAAAUCACACAACAUGACUACCGAGUUCAAAACCCUUUGUUAUCCAAUUUUUUUUUGUUUAUCCCACCGUACCCAAG
This 263-nucleotide long non-coding RNA is filed under the name Lathyrus oleraceus (garden pea). RNAcentral's name for it is "Pisum sativum (pea) long non-coding RNA (PSAT_LNC024565)". Lineage: Eukaryota; Viridiplantae; Streptophyta; Magnoliopsida; Fabales; Fabaceae. The record is from RNAcentral.